CACGCCCUAAACGAUGCGAACUGGAUGUUGGGUCCACUUGAGGAUUCAGUAUCGAAGCUAACGCGUUAAGUUCGCCGCCUGGGGAGUACGGUCGCAAGACUGAAACUCAAAGGAAUUGACGGGGGCCCGCACAAGCGGUGGAGUAUGUGGUUUAAUUCGAUGCAACGCGAAGAACCUUACCUGGCCUUGACAUGUCCGGAAUCCUGCAGAGAUGCGGGAGUGCCUUCGGGAAUCGGAACACAGGUGC
Molecule: ribosomal RNA, 247 nt
Filed under: uncultured Lysobacteraceae bacterium
Lineage: Bacteria; Pseudomonadati; Pseudomonadota; Gammaproteobacteria; Lysobacterales; Lysobacteraceae
Description: uncultured Xanthomonadaceae bacterium partial 16S ribosomal RNA
Rfam family: Bacterial small subunit ribosomal RNA
Source: RNAcentral